Molecule: ribosomal RNA, 253 nt
Filed under: uncultured bacterium
Lineage: Bacteria
Description: partial 16S ribosomal RNA
Rfam family: Archaeal small subunit ribosomal RNA
Source: RNAcentral
UACCAGCACCCCGAGUGGUCGGGACGAUUAUUGGGCCUAAAGCAUCCGUAGCCGGUUUUACAAGUCCUCCGUUAAAUCCAACUGCUUAACAGAUGGGCCGCGGAGGAUACUACAAGACUAGGAGGCAGGAGAGGCAAGCGGUACUCAGUGGGUAGGGGUAAAAUCUGUUGAUCCAUUGAAGACCACCAGUGGCGAAGGCGGCUUGCCAGAACGCACUCGACGGUGAGGGAUGAAAGCUGGGGGAGCAAACCGG